Molecule: small nucleolar RNA, 134 nt
Organism: Trachemys scripta elegans
Lineage: Eukaryota; Metazoa; Chordata; Testudines; Emydidae
Source: RefSeq, a predicted model, not a curated record
GGGUCCAUCCUAAUUCCUGCAGGUCAGUGCCAGUACCUGCUAGGUUUCGCUUGUGGACCAGAUUAAACUGGAAAGUGCUCUUUAAAUAUGAGUUUACAGUUAGUCUGCUCAUAACAAGAGAUUUCUGGACAUGU